CCUCCUUUUUAAGGACCUUCGAACCCCAACCUCCAAUGGCCGAUCUAAACGCAUCUCCCAUCCCUCUCUUUCCCCGUUUUCUUCUCCCACUUCUUCACGCUACAGGAUUAGAGAAUGGGGUUCCAGAGGGGUGCAAUAGGCUCCAGAUGGCUUCAAUGUUCUGUCAAGAAUUACGAUUGGGGGAAAAAAGAAGGGAUAACUCUGAAAAUGCUAUAUCAAAGGAUAUACCCUUUAGAAUCAUCGAUUGGACACCAAUAGAAACGCACAGAAUAUCAUAAGCAGAAACACCAAUAGAAAUGCACAAAAAAUUACACAAGCACGCACAAAAAAUUACAGAAUCUUGAACCUGGAAAACCGAUGAUCAGUAGAAACGCACGGACUAGAAGAAACGCACGCACGAGAAGAAAAGCACGAUCAGUAGAGAGAAUCACGGAAUGCGAGAUCAGUAUAGAGAAAAUGAGAACUUCAUGUAUUUAACCUUUGGAGAAACGCACGAUCAGUAGAGAGAAACGCACGAUCAGUUUCCGUAGAGUAGAGAGAAACGCACGAUCAGUUUCCGUAGAGGAGUUAACCUUGACGUGAUUUCCAGAGUAGAAAAAACAAGAACUUCCGUAGAGAGUUUGGGGAUUGAGGAUUUCCGUCGAGAGGGUUUGGGGAUUGGGGAGGGUUUGGGGAAAGCAAAAAAUAAGGGUUUGGAAACAAGAGUUAAUUUCAGUCGAGAGUUAUUUUGAGAGUUUUAAUAAAAGGUUUGGGUUUUACUAAAAGGUUUAAGGAUAAAUAGAUUU
This 785-nucleotide long non-coding RNA is filed under the name Zostera marina. RNAcentral describes it as "long non-coding RNA (ZMAR_LNC000621)". Lineage: Eukaryota; Viridiplantae; Streptophyta; Magnoliopsida; Alismatales; Zosteraceae. The record is from RNAcentral.